CGAAUACCGGGAAGAACUGAUCGGGAGACACACGGCGGGUGCUAACGUCCGUCGUGGAGAGGGAAAGAGCCCAGACCUCCAGCUAAGGUCCCAAAGUGCGUGUUAAGUGGAAAAGGAUGUGGGAUUUCGAAGACAACCAGGAUGUUGGCUCAGAAGCAGCCAUACAUUCAAAGAGUGCGUAAUAGCUCACUGGUCGAGAGGUCCUGCGCCGAAAAUGUCCGGGGCUGAAACACGACACCGAAGCUGAGGAAUCACGCAAGUGAUUGGUAGAGGAGCAUUGCAUAAGGGAAGAAGCAGUACCGGAAGGUCGACGCGGCCG
This 319-nucleotide ribosomal RNA is filed under the name uncultured bacterium. RNAcentral's name for it is "bacterial LSU rRNA". It matches the Rfam family "Bacterial large subunit ribosomal RNA", at positions 957 to 1279 of the family's 2925-position model. The record is from RNAcentral.